GUCUACGGCCAUACCACCCUGAACGCGCCCGAUCUCGUCUGAUCUCAGAAGCUAAGCAGGGUCGGGCCUGGUUAGUACUUGGAUGGGAGAAUCACUGGUCUAGCAAAAU
Molecule: ribosomal RNA, 109 nt
Organism: Panthera pardus (leopard)
Lineage: Eukaryota; Metazoa; Chordata; Mammalia; Carnivora; Felidae
Source: Ensembl